GGGAAGAAGAAAGUGACGGUACCAACAGAAGAAGCGACGGCUAAAUACGUGCCAGCAGCCGCGGUAAUACGUAUGUCGCAAGCGUUAUCCGGAUUUAUUGGGCGUAAAGCGCGUCUAGGCGGUUUGGUAAGUCUGAUGUGAAAAUGCGGGGCUCAACUCCGUAUUGCGUUGGAAACUGCCAAACUAGAGUACUGGAGAGGUAGGCGGAACUACAAGUGUAGAGGUGAAAUUCGUAGAUAUUUGUAGGAAUGCCGAUGGGGAAGCCAGCCUACUGGACAGAUACUGACGCUAAAGCGCGAAAGC
Molecule: ribosomal RNA, 303 nt
Filed under: uncultured bacterium
Lineage: Bacteria
Description: bacterial SSU rRNA
Rfam family: Bacterial small subunit ribosomal RNA
Source: RNAcentral